RNAcentral lists this ribosomal RNA (497 nucleotides) under uncultured bacterium. RNAcentral's name for it is "partial 16S ribosomal RNA". It matches the Rfam family "Bacterial small subunit ribosomal RNA", at positions 28 to 507 of the family's 1533-position model. The record is from RNAcentral.
GAUGAACGCUGGCGGCGUGCCUAAUACAUGCAAGUCGAGCGAACAGACGAGGAGCUUGCUCCUCUGACGUUAGCGGCGGACGGGUGAGUAACACGUGGAUAACCUACCUAUAAUACUGGGAUAACUGCGGGAAACCGGAGCUAAUACCGGAUAAUAUAUUGAACCGCAGGGUGCAGUAGUGAAAGACGGUUUUGCUGUCACUUAUAGAUGGAUCCGCGCCGUAUUAGGUAGUUGGUAAGGUAACGGCUUACCAAGGCGACGAUGCGUAGCCGAGCUGAGAGGGGGAUCGGCCACACGAGAGCGGACACACGGUCCAGACUCCUACGGGAGGCCGCAGUAGGGAAUCUUGCGCAAUGGGCGAAAGCCUGACGGAGCAACGCCGCGUGAUUGAUGAAGGUCUUCGGAUCGUAGAACUCUGUUAUGAGGGAAGAACAAAUGUGUAAGUAACUAUGCACGUCUUGACGGUACCUAAUCAGAAAGCCCCGGCUAACUACGUG